GACGAACGCUGGCGGCGUGCUUAACACAUGCAAGUCGAACGGAAAGGCCCUGCUUUUGUGGGGUGCUCGAGUGGCGAACGGGUGAGUAACACGUGAGUAACCUGCCCUUGACUUUGGGAUAACUUCAGGAAACUGGGGCUAAUACCGGAUAGGAGCUCUUGCUGCAUGGUGGGGGUUGGAAAGUUUCGGCGGUUGGGGAUGGACUCGCGGCUUAUCAGCUUGUUGGUGGGGUAGUGGCUUACCAAGGCUUUGACGGGUAGCCGGCCUGAGAGGGUGACCGGCCACAUUAGGCCUGAGCUACGGCCCAGACUCGAACGGGAGGCAGCGGUGGGGAAUAUUGCACAAUGGGCUGAAGCCUGAUGCAGCAACGCAGCGUGCGGGAUGAGAGCCUUCGGGUUGUGAACCGAUGUCGCCUGAGCCGAAGCGUGAGUGACGGUAAUGGGUAAAGAAGCACCGGCUAACUACGUG
Molecule: ribosomal RNA, 468 nt
Filed under: uncultured bacterium
Lineage: Bacteria
Description: partial 16S ribosomal RNA
Rfam family: Bacterial small subunit ribosomal RNA
Source: RNAcentral